GAUGAAGAACGUAGCGAAAUGCGAUACGUAGUGUGAAUUGCAGAAUUCAGUGAAUCAUCGAAUCUUUGAACGCACAUUGCGCCCUUUGGUAUUCCAAAGGGCAUGCCUGUUCGAGCGUCAUUUGUACCCUCAAGCUCUGCUUGGUGUUGGGCGUCUUUUGUCUCCAGUUCGCUGGAGACUCGCCUUAAAGUCAUUGGCAGCCGGCCUACUGGUUUCGGAGCGCAGCACAAGUCGCGCUCUUAGCCAGCCAAGGUCAGCGUCCAGCAAGCCUUUUUUCAACCUUUGACCUCGGAUCAGGUAGGGAUACCCGCUGAACUUAAGCAUAUCAAUAAGCGGAGGA
Molecule: unclassified non-coding RNA, 340 nt
Filed under: soil metagenome
Description: partial contains 5.8S ribosomal RNA, internal transcribed spacer 2, and large subunit ribosomal RNA
Rfam family: 5.8S ribosomal RNA (bases 1-120)
Source: RNAcentral